AGUGGUUAUGGUUUAAAUAUUUAUGUGAAUUAUAAAACAUUAGUUUAUUCGUAGCUGCGUGCGGUGAAUUUACAUGGGUACUGUAAAGGACUUAAAAAAUAUAAAGGAAUAUUAAUCUAACAACUUAAAGGUUUGUACUUUUUCCUUUUGCAUAAUGAUUUAAUUAGUGUGCCGCUAGGCAAAAGAUAUUACGUCUGGAUACCCGAAAUCAGGUGAGCUACUGUAGGCUAAGCAAGGGUGGCUUAAACCAGUUUAUGUUGCAAUAUAAUUGGGAGAGCUUAAAGUAGGGGUGAUAUGCUAACCGUACCUGAUUAUAGCUGGUUGUUUAAGAAAUGAAUGUAAGUUCAGCCUAAUAUUUAUAUGUGGUGAAACUAAUCGGAAUAUGCUGAUUAGUUUAUAUGUGAACAAACAUAAACUAAACGUAAGUUUUGUGCCCACCAUUGUAGGCUUAAAGGCAGCCACCUUUUAGAAAAAGCGUUAAAGCUUUCAGUAUUUAGCUAAAUAAUCUAUUAUUUAGUUUAGUAUUAAACAAUUUUAAUAAUAAAAUAUUUUCUGUUAAAAUGCGUAGAUAGUAUAAUAACUUUCUUGUGAGUGUAAAUAAGUUAUUCUCAGAGAAGCGAACAAGAGAAGGAAUAAAAGUUAUUCUGACAUAAGAAUAAGAUAAAAGUUAUUAGAUAAGAAAUAGGAACUCGGCAAAUGCUAAGCUCGCCUGUUUACCAAAAACAUCGCCUUUAGGUUAAUAUUAAAGGUCUGCUCUGCCCAGUGUCGUGAGAUUAACGGCCGCGGUAUUUUGACUGUGCAAAGGUAGCAUAAUCACUUGCCCUUUAAAUGGGGGAAUGUAUGAAUGAUUAGACGAGGUUUUUACUGUCUUUUUUUUAAGAACUUGAGAUUACAUUAUAUGUGAAAAUGCAUAUAGUCGUUAAAGGACGAGAAGACCCUGCUGAGCUUUAUAAGUAGUUUAGUACGUAGGUUAAAAUAGGGUAAUAAGUUAUUUACGAAAUUAACGUUCUAAUUAGUAUUUAUUUUGCUGGGGUGGCAAGCAAAGAUAUUAAGCUUUGCUUAAUUACAUUGUAGAUUUUAAGACGGUGUGCGUCGAGAAACGUGGGUUAGAUCCGCUUAGGCGAUUGUUAGAACAAGUUACCACAGGGAUAACAGCGUUAUUCUCUUUGAGAGCUCUAAUUGACGAGAGAGUUUGCGACCUCGAUGUUGGAUCAAGAUUCCUAGUGGUGCAGCAGUUACUUAGGGUUUGCCUGUUCGGCGAUUAAAAUCUUACGUGAUCUGAGUUCAGACCGUUGUAAGACAGGUUAGAUUCUAUCCUUAUAUUCAUGCAUUUAGUACGAAAGGACCAAUGUCAUGUGAUUUAAGGUUUAUACUAAAUCAUA
Molecule: ribosomal RNA, 1382 nt
Filed under: Epigonichthys cultellus
Lineage: Eukaryota; Metazoa; Chordata; Leptocardii; Amphioxiformes; Branchiostomatidae
Description: 16S ribosomal RNA
Rfam family: Bacterial large subunit ribosomal RNA
Source: RNAcentral